AAAACGACUCUCGGCAACGGAUAUCUCGGCUCUACGCAUCGAUGAAGAACGUAGCGAAAUGCGAUACUUGGUGUGAAUUGCAGAAUCCCGUGAACCAUCGAGUCUUUGAACGCAGCAUAAGUGCCAGCCCCAACCUUCCCCGGCCGAGGGCACGUCUGCAGGUGUCACAA
This 170-nucleotide ribosomal RNA is filed under the name Arabidopsis thaliana (thale cress). Its description in RNAcentral is "5.8S ribosomal RNA". It matches the Rfam family "5.8S ribosomal RNA". Rfam says of the family: 5.8S ribosomal RNA (5.8S rRNA) is a component of the large subunit of the eukaryotic ribosome. It is transcribed by RNA polymerase I as part of the 45S precursor that also contains 18S and 28S rRNA. The record is from RNAcentral. Lineage: Eukaryota; Viridiplantae; Streptophyta; Magnoliopsida; Brassicales; Brassicaceae.